This 1180-nucleotide long non-coding RNA is filed under the name Oryza sativa (Asian cultivated rice). RNAcentral's name for it is "long non-coding RNA (OSAT_LNC000967)". The record is from RNAcentral. Lineage: Eukaryota; Viridiplantae; Streptophyta; Magnoliopsida; Poales; Poaceae.
AAAGUUAUUUCUACCAUUCCAGCAUAAACAAGGGAUGACAAAGUACAUAUGUUCUAUACAACACUAGGUUUUCAAGCCUUGCAGAUUUUUUCUUCUUCAGCACAUUAAACAUGGCUGACAUGUUUUCAUCGGCACAUGAUAAAUCAUCUAGCUGCACUUGAAGAAAAAAGAAAUCAACGGCUUAGUUGAAGCAAGAUGCAAACUGAAAUCAAUAGGCAGUACACAUAAUAUUGUGUGUUAAAACGGCUUUUGGUCAAAACAGUGUAGGUAGCACAUGCUUGAGCAUUUUUAAUCUGUAACUUUACAUUCAGGAACUGCAUUUUCAGGACAACUGGAACUGAAGUUUUCAUGUGCCCUAUACUGAUGAGUAUAUUGGUCAAAUCUGUUCUUUUUGUGAAUUCAUAAUGUGAAUGAAAUUAAAACGGUGCGAUAUAAUAAUGGAAUGUGCUUACAUAAGUUAUUACUACUGAAUUGUGUCACUUAGCUAGUAUGUAUUUAUGUGAUCACUAAUUAAUAGAUGAAAUAGAAUGUAGUAUGUGAAGCACUACGGUCACAACUGUGGUGCUGCUGGCGAGGAAACGGCUGCAGACCGCAGCUUUGAUGGGCUUUAUCAGCGUGCGGCAAAAUUAGGGUCACAUGAAAAGGGUUUAGCUGUUCAAGCGCCAAGGCAUUCCGUGGGAUAUGCAGGCCUCCGUCUAGCUGGCCGCAGCAGCGCCGCCGCCAACGAACGUUCGACAAAAACUAUUCCCUAUUUUUCUAGGUUUUUUUUAAUUAGUUGGUUUUCUAGAAAAACUAUUUGGUGCAUGUAUAUAUGGCUAUACAUCUACAUGGCUAUUGGAUCUAACUGGGGUCAUGUAUCGUGAAUCGAUAGUAAUUAUACAAAAGUAAUUACAAAUACCUUAAGAUGCGUCUUUGCUGUAGAGUUGAGAGCAGGACUGUCAUCUUCACCCGUAUUAACCGUAGAAAAUUACUGCGAUUGACGCCUCUAUGCAGAUGGUGGUGAUGGACCGGUCAAGGGAUCCAUGAUGGUGAAUGAAGAUGCAAAAUAUUGUGAGAAGAAGAGAGGAGAAAAUAAGAACGGAUGUGCACCGAAGACAGGAGAAAGAAUGCCUUUUGUGUCGUUGCUCGGUUGCCUUUCUGUUUUUUUUCUGUUGCUGCAGAUUUAGUAAUAGAUAAAGCU